CUCAUUUGCUCUGAAGGAAGCUGACCAGCACAUUGUGAGGACACGCAAGCAGCCCCAUGGGGAGUCCAUGUGGGGAGGGACUGAGGCCUCCUGCUAUUGGCCAGCAUCAUCUUGCCGAUAGCCAGGUGAGUGAGUCACCUUGGAGCAGAUCCUUCUGCCCCAGCCAAGCCUUCAGAUGAAACUGUGGCCCCAGCCCACUCUCACCUGCACCCUCACGAGACAUCUGGAGUCAGAACCACCUAACUAAGCCAUUCUCAGAUUCUUGACCCACAGAAACUGGAUGCUACUCGCACGCCUUCCAUGUGCCACUGGCCCCAGGAGGAGACCACAGAGGUGGUCUAGGCUUAGCCUCAGAACAAAACGAGACAAGAUACAAGCAUGUGGCAGAUGAAGAGACGAGGCUGAGAAAGAGCCCAGGACAAGGUGGUGACAAAAGCAGGAUGCAGGACCCAAAUUCCCCUUCGAGAGCUCUUCCUCCUCCAGCCGGGAAAUUCCGUUCGGCUCAUUGUCUUUGGCCUCAAACUCCCGGGGGAAGGGACGGAACCUGGGAGGCUGAGGAAAACCAGAUGCCUAAUCGAUGCUCCUGCAUUUGACAAGGGCGCUGGGGGUGGACGGGCCUGGAGCUGCGCGGCAAACAUUUCAGACUCUUUUGCAUCCUGAAAAUGGCUCUGGGUGUGGAGACAGCCCGGGGAGGAGGCCGUCUGGGACCAUAUGACGCUUGCCAGUGGCAUGAAGGCUGUUAGAGCCAUGGUAGCAACAUUACUUACCCUCCUCCCUUCUCUUGAACAGUGACGAGGCUCCCCCCACUUCACGGGAAGCACACGAAAUCUGGCCCCCAGAGAGGUGGGAUUGAAAACCUGACAGUUUGGACAUACAGCCCGUGGGCAAUGUUUCCCUUCUCCCGGGCUUGUGUCUGUGCCAAGAAUUCCUAACAAAG
This 937-nucleotide long non-coding RNA is filed under the name Equus asinus (donkey). RNAcentral's name for it is "lncRNA (ENSEASG00005030176.1)". Lineage: Eukaryota; Metazoa; Chordata; Mammalia; Perissodactyla; Equidae. The record is from RNAcentral.